UUUGAUUACAAUCUUAAGGCAGUAACUUAGGCUUGCCCAAGAAAAGUGGUUUUCAAAGAUUUUAGGAUAAACUUUUUUGGCAAAAGUAAAUUAUUUGUUAACCAGAAAAUUUAAUUUUAUGGUUGAAGCUGGUGACAAGCACUUGGAACCCAAGUUUUGCAUAUUUGCUCUGCUCCCAUCUUCUGCCUCUAAGCAUCUGGAGGUAAGAAUAUAUCUAAGUCAAGAUACACCAACACAGGGAGAGAAGAUAUAAAGUGAUCUCCACUUCUGGAGUUGACUGCUGACUCUGUUAAGAUUAAAUUUAGUAGUAAAAGUUUUUUAAAAAUCCUGCACGGGGUAUGGAAGACAAUAUAAAGACUUAUUUGAGGAAAAAUAAUUUAAUAUAUUACAUAUGAAAGCAAUGUUUGGGGAUGUAUUACAUGUUUGGUUUGAAAGACCAAUAUCUAGACAUAAAUUCACAUAUGAUCUGAGGCAAAUAUGUUAAAGACAGUAUUCAGAACAAGUAAACUAAUAGUACCUAACUUCAGAGAUGUGCCCUGAACGGAUAGUAGAAAUGAGCAAACAUAGGCUUAAUUUGAAAAAUAUUUUUCAAAAAUGGGAGUUUUAGAAAAAAUAUAUAAUUGGCUGUCCUGUUAUAUACAUGCAUUGAGAAAAUAAUAGCUGACUGUCAGUAUUGUGCCAGAAAGGGACCUGAGGAAGAAAUGAACAUAUGUCCUGUUUCGCAAAAAGCCCACACAGUCCACAAGAGGAAAUGGACCAAUAAAUAGGUAAUUGUGAUAUGAAUUGGAUAAAGGCUACAACAGGAAUGAUGAUGAAGGGGAAGAUGGCAUUCAGGAAAGGCUUCACAAAGGAAACUGUUCUAAAUAAACUUCCCAGUUCAAAGUUGUAUCUCUUUAAUAUAUCCAUGUAGCUAGAAGGCACCUCAAACUUAAUAUAGCCAAAAUAGAGUGCCUGCCUGUCAUUAUUAAUCAUUCAUUUUCUAGUUUACCCAUUUAUGUAAAAAUCUUCAUUCAGUUGCUCAAGCAAAAACAAACAUUUUUGAGCAUCUCUUCUUUGCAUUAAACCAAACAAUUCCUCUUAAUUAUAUGACCAAAAGAGGAAAAUAUGUUUGAGAGCAACUAAAACAUUAGAAGUCAUUACAGUUUCUGAAUUACAGGUAAGUGAAGAAAACUGCACAGGAUCAUCAAAAGAGAACUGUGGUGAACUAACUCCUUGAGGAUCUCAGAACCAUUCAGCAUACAUUUUCCUCCAGGGUAAAUCCAUGUGAAAAAAGGAAACUUCUAGUUUCUGAAAUCAAAUUGAACAGAGCAGAAAGAUUGUAAGGAAAAAUGUAAAAUUCAUAUGUUAGAGGGUAGGAGAAGAAUCUAGAGAAAGCAGAUCUCAGAAAGCAUUAUGGCACCAAAAUAAAUAUAUAAACAUGAGAGUAACAUAUUAGACUUCAAGACCUGUUAAAUGUGAACACCAGAAAAUGCAGACAAAAAGCAGUUGGAACAUCUGACCUAGUAAUUUUUUAAGUGGGCUAAAUGGAAGAAAACAUUUAAACCUUUGAAACAGAAUGAAUCAGAAAAAUAAUCCAGAAACAGUCAACUGAAGGGUGUGAAACAAAAACUGAUGGAAGGAAACAAUUACAAAAAAAAAUCCAUAAAUGAAAGACUUGGAAGGUAGGAGAAACACUGAUAAAAAUGGUAAGGAAGAUAAGAGCAAAGUGAAGACAAUUUUUAAUUAUAUAAAAGAUUGAUAGAAGUAAUAGGUAAAAGAGCCAAUGGAGAUCUAAAUUAAAUAUGUUGUAUUGGAUGCUGUAUUGUGCUGACCCAAACCAUCCUCUACCUGUCACACCUUUUUCAGGUGAGAGGCAUUCAUUUCUCCAGUUUCUAGGGAAUAGUCCUUGUCUAAGGAAACUGCCCUUCCUAAGACCAGGCCUCCUGCUUCAGUCUGAGACACCUGCAAAAGGCUAUUCUAGUUACAGAGUUCCUUAUGGGAUGAGCAGAGGUAUUUGUCGUGACUGUUUGUAGUUCCAUUUAUCCUUCUAUCACUGCCUUACAAAUAUUUUUUCUUUUGUGAUACCCCUUUAAAUUGCCUUCAUCAAAUCCCUACCUCAUAAUAAUUUCUUCCCAGAACCUUACCUAGGUCAAGAGGAACCAGAAAUGGUCUUAGGAAAUAGACACCAAAAAGGGGCACUUUGGAGCAGGCAAUAUGGAUUCUCUCAUUUGUAGGAGGUAAAAUACCGAUGGUAGGUGCUUUCUGUCAUGCUAUGGCAGUAUAGUUUUAAAAUUUUCACCAAUGAUGCUAUUGGACAGGAAUAUACAUGCAUGUGUAAUAUCUCAAGCAGUUGAGAGGAUCAGGGGACAUAGCAAUUAUAUGAAAACUGCUAAAUUUCAGAGUCAUUGUUGUCUUGGAGAAAGAAAAUGAAGGCUGAGAGAAUCAUCAAUUUAAGGAAAAAUAUGAAAGUUAAAAGGUGUUAUGGUUUAGAUACCUGGUAUACCCCAAAAUCCCAUGUGUGAGAAUGCAAGAAGGUUUAGAGGCCAGAUGAUUGGGCCAUGAGAACUUAACCAAAUCAGUGUGUUAAUUCCUUGAUAGGGAUUAAUUGAGUGGUAACUGAAAGUGGGUAGGGUGUGGCUGAAGGAGGUGGGUCAUUAAGGGAAUGCCUUUGGGGUUUAUAUUUUGUGGUUGUGAGGAGAGCUCUCUCUCUGCUUCCUGGUGCCAUGUCCCCAACAGCUUUCCUCUGCCACACACUUCUGCCGUGAUAUCCUGCCUCACCUCAGGCCCUGAGAAAUGGAAUUCACUGUCUGUGGAUUCAGACUUCCAAAGUAGUGAGCCCCAAAAUAAACUUUUCCUCCUUAAAAUUGUUCUUGUCAGAUCUUUUGUUCACAGCAGCAAAAAUAUGUCUAAACUGAAGGCAUCCUUGGUAGCAUAUAAAGGGAUUUUCAUCUCUUCAUCUUCAUCACACCUUCCCCUGGACCCUCUGAACUCUAGAAUUGCCAGAUAAAAUACGGGAUGACAAAUUUAAUUGUUAAA
RNAcentral lists this long non-coding RNA (3015 nucleotides) under Marmota monax (woodchuck). The record is from RNAcentral. Lineage: Eukaryota; Metazoa; Chordata; Mammalia; Rodentia; Sciuridae.